Phrynosoma platyrhinos (Desert horned lizard) is the source of this 74-nucleotide non-coding RNA. The record is from the annotation of a GenBank genome assembly. Lineage: Eukaryota; Metazoa; Chordata; Lepidosauria; Squamata; Phrynosomatidae.
GCCAGCAUGGUGUAGUGGUUUGAGCAUAAGACUAUGACUCUGGAGAACAGGGUUCAAUUCCUGGCUUGCUUGCC